UCCAGCCCCUACACCGAAAAUAAACCUUAAUCCAACAUCGAGGUCGCAAACCCCCCUGCCGAUAAGAACUCUCAAGGGGGAUAACGCUGUUAUCCCUAAGGUAAUUUAAUCUUACAAUCAAAAUAAAUGGAUCAAAUAAUUAUAAAUAAAUAUAACAACAUAAAGGAGGGGUUAAAUAAAUUCCUCCCAUCACCCCAACAAAACAUACUAAAUGGCCCAGUGAACCCUCACAAACAGAAAAGAACCAUAAUAAAUGUUAAACUCUAUAGGGUCUUCUCGUCCCAUAAAAACAUCUAAGAAUUUUAACUCAAAGACCAAAUUCAAUAAACAAUUCAAAAUUAAGACAGCCCAUGCCUCGUCAAGCCAUUCAUACCAGAUCACAAUUAAAGAACUAAUGACUAUGCUACCUUUGCACGGUCAAAAUACCGCGGCCCUUCAACAUCAAAUCAGCGGGCAGG
This 458-nucleotide ribosomal RNA is filed under the name Reticulitermes lucifugus. RNAcentral's name for it is "partial large subunit ribosomal RNA". The record is from RNAcentral. Lineage: Eukaryota; Metazoa; Arthropoda; Insecta; Blattodea; Rhinotermitidae.